UUACUGCUAGUUAAAAUUUAAAAUCCUCAAGUCUAAAAUAGUCCAAAAUCCAAAUCAAUGUUUGUGAGAUCUGAAACCCUAGAUCUACCGUCACCACUUUCAUCUCUUCUCCAUUAUCACCAUCAAGCUCGCUCCAGUGUUCUGAGAUCAGAGGGAGAGUAAGCUCGCCACUGUCACCAUUCAUGUCCUGGUCGUUGCCGCCAUCAAGCUUCUAUGUCAAUGUGUUGUUUCCUUUGUCUACACGCCAUAGCUUUUGAGAUCAGAGAAAGUGAGUUCGUAGCCACCGCCGGCGCCUCCAUCAAGCUUAUCCGUCGACGCGUUUGAUUUUCUUCUUAAUCACCUAAGUUCAAUUUCUGUUUGUUCUUUUUUUUCUUUUUCAUUGUUAUUUAUUUAACUCAGUUUGGAUAUUUUUUUGUUUUUCACUUUUCCUCUACAUUUUUCAUGCAUAUAUAGCGUGGUUAGAAUUUGUUAUGAAGAAAGACGCAGUGGUAGUAGUGCGGCGGCGGUGAUAGUGCGAUAGCAAUGGCGGCGGUGGAGCGAAGAAUGGCUCUUCAUAGAGCGCAACAAGUGAAGAAAAGUAGACAUGGACCGAGGUCGCGAAGCUCAGAGUAUAGCGGCGUCACCUUCUAUUGAAGGAUCGGACAAUGUGAAUCGCAUAUUUGCAUGAUGGAUUCUUCCCUUUUCUUGAAAAUUGAUGCUUUUCCCAACAACAACAGCACAGAUUAGAGACCAUUGGAGCAAAGCAAAAGCUGUUGAUAUUUGAUAAGCACAACAAUGACCCUCAGAUAUAAUCUGUAACAGGUACAAUAUGCUUGAUCAAUAUUUUGUUAAGAAAUCGGUGUUUUCAUUUUGGCUGAACCGUAACCCAGAGGAAGAGAAUGGGGUGAACUUGUUUUUGGAGGUGUUGAUCCCAAUCACUACAAGGGAAAGCACACUUAUGUGCCUGUGUCAAGAAAAGUUUGAUAUGGGAGAUAUACUUAUUGGAGACAAAAAAACUGGAAUUUGUGCUGACAGCUGUUCAACUAUUGCAGACUUAGGGACUUCUUUGUUGGCAGGUCCAACGGAGCUGGAAUUCAUACACAAGAGUAGCAGCACUGUUGGCUAUAGACCCAAUGUCUUCUCAACCACUCUCUCCAAUCUCAUUGCCACCAACUCUUACCACUUCCUCAUUCCCUUCAUUCCCAUUCGAGGGAAAUGGCCAGUGUUGGUUUAUCUGGAGCUCUUUCGUCAGGAAUUGGAAAUUUGAGCCAUCUCUAAAUAUUAACAAUCAGUUAUUUGGUCCUAUCCCAGCUGAGAUAGGCAAGUUGUCAGAGCUUCAGACUCUAGACCUUUCCAGUAACCAGUUUGUUAGAGAAAUUCCUAGUUCUUUGGGCUUAUUGUCUCAACUAAGUUACUUCUUUUCAGGCGGCUCAACAAAAAUAAUUUAUCUGAACAGAUCCCUCCACUUGUUGCUAACUUGACAGGUCUUUCAUUCUUGGACUUGUCAUUUAAUAAUCUCAGUGGUCCUACUCCAAAAAUUUUGACAAAAGAUUACAGGAACCUUAUCCGAGUGAGUACCAAUGGCACAAUCAGUGGCAGAGUUUGAUGAGAAAAUUAAAAUAAUGUGUGAUAUUUUAUAUUCAUCUUGAGGCACUUCAAUAUUUUGCUAGGGGUGCUGAUAUUAAGGGCUGAAAAGCUGUGCUGGACAAGGCCGUGCAUACUGAUCCAAAUUGCUCAGGGUACUCAAAAUACUGAUCUAAAUUGCAGUUGCUGUUUCUCAAACAGUUUCAAUUAUAUGGGAAGCAAGUAGUUCAUUCGAGGUUUAGUUACUUUAAAAUUCUCUGUAGUUUCAUUGAACUUCCAUGUUGGAUUUGAAAUAGCUUUUUUUGUGGAUAUUAUUACAAGUUAGUGGAAAAACAAACCUGCUUCAGUUGCUCAAUUUUUGAAGAACACUCCCAAUCUGGAUAAGGUUGUAACUUUCAUGUAGUGCAAUUGAAUUCUAGAUUCAUGUUUGUUCUUGUAAUAUAUACCUCUUGGUUGUAUUGGGGUAAAAAAUUAUGAAUGGAAGUUCCAUGGAAUUGAUCCAUGUGUAUUUUGACUCAUGUACAAAAAACACUGUUGGUGUUGAAUUUUGAUAGAAAA
RNA transcript from Arachis stenosperma, 2121 nucleotides. It is a transcript of the gene named probable LRR receptor-like serine/threonine-protein kinase At5g45780, with no coding region annotated. The record is from RefSeq and is a predicted model, not a curated record. The transcript is spliced from 13 exons. Lineage: Eukaryota; Viridiplantae; Streptophyta; Magnoliopsida; Fabales; Fabaceae.